UCAAUUGACCGCGCGAAAUUCUCCAGACGAGCGUACUUUUUUUUGAUCCGUUCAAAUGGUAACUUCAAUAGAAUCAAGGCAGUCCCGAUAUAGGCGCGACUCUGAACCAAACGCGGCGUUGAUUGAGCUUAAUGAAGGUUAAAAGUCUGUGCAUAAGCGGUAACCGUCUGCUCUAUGGUACAGUCUAAAAAUUUCAAUUACUAUUCAAAGUCCGGAACCGAUCCGAAUAGGAAACACCCGCCACGCUCAGCCUGCGUUCUCGAAUCUUUCUAAUAAGAGAGAACCACGUUGUCUCCUAUCUUUUGGGAAUGAAAACGAAACACGGCAACAGUCGAAAAAUUUCGAUCGGGGGAGCAGACAGUUCGCCGGACCAAUCCGGCUAAAAAAUCGUACACUCGAUCCGGAGGACGCGCGUGCGGCGCAUACAGUAUGCAGAGAGCAGCGUCUCGAAUAAAACAACCAAAGAGAUAUCUGUCGCCGCAAUGCGCGCUCGAUUCGUCGAUGAUGCAGCUUCCUCAUUCAUCUACCGGCGGGUCCGGCGAGUGAAACGUCGGACGUUCGUCGGGGAAAAACAUUGUCGGAUGUCGCGAGAAAUUGUCGGAUAGGUUGUGCGGCUGCAGGGGGGAGUGGAGAAGUUUGGAUGAUCGAUGUGCCGACGUUACUCACUUUGACGACUUCGAAAAGAUAAUACACGCAGAAUCCGAAGCCCAGCAGCGCCCCGUAGUAGACCGUCGGGAUGUCGAGGAGUGGCUCGAGCAUGUUCUCCAUCGCUGUAACUCUAUCGAUACGUCCGACAGACUGCGGGCAAUCUUGCGACGUGAACGCGCCGGUGUGUCCGCCAGGUCCGUUGACAAUCCUUGCCCGUCGGAUGCCGGUAGCCAACAACCGAUCGCCGACGGUUUCGCAGAGAGCCGCGCGUCCACGCGCAUGACGUUCAAAUAAUUGGACGGCCAACUAGCUUACUAGCAUUACGAGCGACCGAUAGCCGAUAGUCGCCGAGACUAUACAGAUGUUCGCUAUAGAUACACCGAGGAUUCGGUCACGUGCGCACGAGCGGAUCCGCUCCCACACUUAUGAACUGGCUCUCUUGUCCACGCUACCAGCCCACAUCGAUACGAGAGAGAGAGAGAGAGAGAGAGAGAGAGAGAGAGAGAGAGAGAGGGAGACAGAGAGAGAGAGAGAGAGAGAGAGAGAGAGACGCGUCUUCCGUCUCUCUUCCUCUCUCGACUCUCCUCUCUUUACGCCCCCUGGGUUGCGUCUCCGUGACAGAGUUAUGUAACGACGACGGCGUGAACUUUUGUAUCGGCACUCUGUGGUAAUGCAGCUGCACUUGUUUCGGCCAAUCCACGUCAAACGGUGCAAAUGCGGUCAUCGAGGGCCCACGGUGAUCGUUUCUGCAGGGAUUAGACGGUCACCGAUAAUAAUAAAAUGUACCGUUAAUCCUC
Long non-coding RNA from Megalopta genalis, 1445 nucleotides. RefSeq lists it as uncharacterized. NCBI's taxonomy places the organism in Eukaryota, Metazoa, Arthropoda, Insecta, Hymenoptera, Halictidae. The record is from RefSeq and is a predicted model, not a curated record.